AGUACCUUACUACUUGGAUAACCGUGGUAAUUCUAGAGCUAAUACAUGCUAAAAACCUCGACUUCGGAAGGGGUGUAUUUAUUAGAUAAAAAACCAAUGCCCUUCGGGGCUCCUUGGUGAUUCAUAAUAACUUCUCAGAUCGCAUGGCCUUGCGCCGGCGACGGUUCAUUCAAAUUUCUGCCCUAUCAACUUUCGAUGGUAAGGUAUUGGCUUACCAUGGUUUCAACGGGUAACGGGGAAUUAGGGUUCGAUUCCGGAGAGGGAGCCUGAGAAACGGCUACCACAUCCAAGGAAGGCAGCAGGCGCGCAAAUUACCCAAUCCCGACACGGGGAGGUAGUGACAAUAAAUACUGAUACAGGGCUCUUUUGGGUCUUGUAAUUGGAAUGAGUACAAUUUAAACCUCUUAACGAGGAACAAUUGGAGGGCAAGUCUGGUGCCAGCAGCCGCGGUAAUUCCAGCUCCAAUAGCGUAUAUUAAAGUUGUUGCAGUUAAAAAGCUCGUAGUUGAACCUUUGGCCUGGCUGGCAGGUCCGCCUCACCGCGUGCACUUGUCCGGCCGGGCCUUCUUUUCUGGAGAACCGCAUGCCCUUCACUGGGUGUGUUGGGGACCAGGACUUUUACUUUGAAAAAAUUAGAGUGUUCAAAGCAGGCCUUUGCUCGAAUACGUUAGCAUGGAAUAAUAGAAUAGGACGUGCGGUCCUAUUUUGUUGGUUUCUAGGACCGCCGUAAUGAUUAAUAGGGACAGUCGGGGGCAUCAGUAUUCAAUUGUCAGAGGUGAAAUUCUUGGAUUUAUUGAAGACUAACUACUGCGAAAGCAUUUGCCAAGGAUGUUUUCAUUAAUCAGUGAACGAAAGUUAGGGGAUCGAAGACGAUCAGAUACCGUCGUAGUCUUAACCAUAAACUAUGCNGACUAGGGAUCGGGCGG
Molecule: ribosomal RNA, 925 nt
Filed under: Wettsteinina lacustris
Lineage: Eukaryota; Fungi; Ascomycota; Dothideomycetes; Pleosporales
Description: SSU rRNA
Rfam family: Eukaryotic small subunit ribosomal RNA
Source: RNAcentral